Molecule: long non-coding RNA, 16894 nt
Filed under: Vitis vinifera (wine grape)
Lineage: Eukaryota; Viridiplantae; Streptophyta; Magnoliopsida; Vitales; Vitaceae
Description: long non-coding RNA (VVIN_LNC003965)
Source: RNAcentral
UUUCACCAAUAUUAGAAUGGAUGAGCUUCUAUGAUUGUCCAAGCCUCAAAACUCUUUCCCCAGAGGAAGUUCACAGUAAUGAUUUGAAGGUGAUAAUAGGAGAGGCAAAAUGGUGGAGAGAAUUGAACUGGAACAAAUCAAAAUGGCCUCAGCUACCCAAUCUGGAUGCUAUCUUUCAUCCAAUUGAACAGGACACUUAUUUCAUUACACGUCUAGCAGAAAUUGACGAUCAACUUCAAGCUAGGAUGCAAGAAACAGAGCUUUCUCAACAGUCAGGUUGUUUUUCCAUUCCUCUUUUUCUUCAAAGAUAAAACACUGAUCUCCAUUUUAUCUUACCUAAACUUGGUCAGGUUAUUUUGUUUUGACAUGACUUCUUUAGUUUCAGGAUAAGCUAUGCCUACAUAGACAUUUGAAUGAAGCAGAAAUUCCCCACAACAUUUGUAUUACCUACGUCCAAGUUUCUUAUUCAGCUCUCUCAUUUUUGGUUUUUUUUCUUGUUGAUGAGGGACAGGUCCUGGUGACUCCCUGAAGGCUCCAGCAGUCAAGGGUGGAACAAGCUCAAAGCAGAAGCAAGUUGCUUAGUUUUACCUAUUCUGUACUAGUUAAGCUUGAGCUACGUAUUAUGGCUAAUUUCCCGACAGCGGCUUACUGUCUUAUUCGUUGUUGUUUGUUUAGUUAUUUCAUGUUGUGCUUGGUUGUGGAGAAAAGGAAACUCAGAACCUUACAGAGACAUUCUUUGGAUUAUCAAACCUUACUUUUCUAGUCUCUUUGAAUAAGUGGUGAUGUGAACUUGCUGUAUGCUCUUGAAUUCAAUAUUCGAAAUCACAUCCUUCAGUUUGAUGUGUACUUAUUGUUUGGUCUGAUCAGCAACUGCUUGAGCCUUUAGCAAAGAAUUACUUAUCAAAUUUGAAUUUUCAAGAGGGACAGAGUAGGUUAGAGGAGGGAGCAGUUCAGUUGCAGCUACAUCAAAACUAAUUUAUAUAUGUGCUUUGGUAGAUAUAAGAUCUGCUUGUACUAAAUUCUAGUAGUUGAUUGCUAAUGUUAAUGGUGUGAGGAAAAUUGUGAUUAAAGUUAAUUUUUUUCUUUCUUUCUUUCACUUUUUCUUUCCUUUAACUUUUCCUCUCUAUGUUCUUAGAUUCCCUCAUAUUUUUUCUUAAAUUUUUUGAAAACCGAACAUAGCCUUAGAGGAGCUAUUAAAGAUCUAAAGGACGUUUCAUGAUUGAGUUAGUAGAAAUUGGUAAUCAAGUUCAUGCUUUGGAGUCAAUAAACAUAUGAUAAACAUGUACAAUUUUCUUUGACUAUCAAAUACUUUGAUGUUAUCUUCAUUUGAGUGGUUUGAUAUAUCCACUCGUACUUCAUAACCCAUUUUCACAUAAAUAAAUAGUAAAAAAAUAAAAUAAAAUGCAAGAGAAAGCUCACAUGUGUGGCAAGCUAUCAUACAUACAUGCAUGUUUUACCUAUGAUCAUACUAUCUCUUGAACAAGCAUUCGAUGAAUCCAUCAAGCAUCACCUAUGCCUUAUCAAAAGGAUUUGUUGAGAAUAUUUACUUAAGAUGAAGAAAUCCACAAAUCUUGCUAAGUUUUAUGUAUGAAUUUUAGCUUUGAUCUUCACUUUAGAGCAUGCCUUUGAUGUAGAAGAGUUUAGCCACUAAUGGAGAACUUAGUCAUCAUUCACCUUGUUUGGUAACCAAGAAAAUGGUAGAAAAUAAUGGAAAGUAGAGAAAAAAAGGGAAAAUCUAAAUUCAAAAAUUGAAAACUCAACAUGAUUGUCUUUAGAAUGUUCCAAAAAAAAAAAACAAUAAAUAAAAACUUCACAUUUCUAACAACCAAGCCUAAGUGUGGACCCCGCAUUUCGAUCGCUCGAAUGCGUUUCUCACUCGAUGGCGAAACUCGAUUUUUAUUUUGAAAAAUUGAUUUUUAUUUUAUUUAUUAGAAAAUGACUUGGAGUCGCCACUUAUUUUUGUUUUAUUUUUUUAAAGGGUAAACAAAAUAAGAAAGAAAAACCCUAAGUGUGACUCCUUAUUUUGGAAAAGACGGCCUGUGAAAAACCGGAUCGGGUUCGGGGGUCAGGUUACUUAUCGGGAAGGUACGGUAAAAACCGUAGCACCCCUCUAAGUCCCUAAAGUCGGGUCUCUACUAAUGAGAUGAAGCUAACGUGGCAAUGAUGAGGAAAUCAAUGAGUACUCAGCAUGAUCGCACAUAUGAGAAUCAGUACAUGCAUGGAGAAUUACAAGAAUGGGAGUGGACACGUACCUAGGUGACAAGCCGCCAUACGCUAUCAAGAAAUAGGGUUAGAGCACAGUUAAGAAAUAAUCUCAUGCAUGUCACAGAUCAGAAUAAAUCAAUCAUGCAUGGCAAUCAAAUCAAUCAAUCAGUCAAUCAAUCAUGAAGUCAAGUAUGUAGGGCCCCCACCAAAGCCUGUUCAUUUUUGCAUGAAUUAAUUCCAUAAAUACCAUUAUUUGGAAUUACGGAAUUUAAUUCUUACUUAUUUUAAAAACAUUUGAAAAAACAAAGAAAAUGCAAAAGUGGCUUGCCGAAAAGAAAAUGGCAACCAAAUUUUAUUGAAAAUGAGAUUUUGAAACCUAAAAACCAUAAAGAUGAAAAAUGAGAGAGUUGGAAUUAUUUGAAAAGCUAAAUUUGAGGAGAUAUUUGCAAAAUGUGAUUUGGAGCAAUUAUUUUUCAAAAACAGAGAUGAGAAGACAGGAGAUUAUAUGCAGCCCAAAGAUGAUCAUUUCAGGCCCUUCAGAGUAUGCCUUUAGGGACUCUGAUUUGAGAAACUGAAGCUGCAUCUGUAAACCAUGGUUGCCAGCACUGACACCCUCAAGGCAUUCAGAGUCGGAUGAAAUCUCUCCUUUGAAUGAUAAUUCCGAAAUGGAAACUGGGCUUGGCUAAUAAGCCUCCUCUAAGCUCAUAAAAGAUUAAGGGUUUGUUCCGGUGCAGCGUGAGGAAACUGAACCUCCACCGGAGGAUCCAAUUGAUGCUUCUUCUAGAAUUGGAGCCAUUGAGUCACAGCCUAGCAGAAUCUCCAUCUCUCACCAACAAGAUGUCGGCUAUUGGUUUGGACUGCUGCUUAUUGGUGGUUCCAAACGACAAGCCAAUAUCCUCAGUUUCAAAAUCAGCCGCAAUGUUGGCAACGACACCUCAGGAACCCCAUAACUUUGUUCAGACAGAUUAUUCUCCUCAAUUUUGUGCUUCAGUUCACUCAAGAUCACACAAACUUCUUGUGCAGCACAACUAUUUCUCUGAAUCCAAGAAAGGGAUGGACGUAGACUUCUGAGAGCCUAGUCUUGAGUUUCUGGGUCCUGAACGUACUUGCAACCUCCUUGAUGUUUUUGUAAGCUCAUCUUUUACACUUCCCGGAACAAGUCGGCGAAGAGCAAUGCAAGGAUGAUGGGAUAGGCCUGACUCCUGAAGCUUCUAGAACUGAGUCUUCCCACUUGAGAUUCUGAAAACAGUCUCCUCUGAGAAAGGAGUUAACCAAAGCUGAAGGAAACGGUUUGAGGUGUUUCGGCUGAUGAUGAAGGUUGGGUACUGAUGGAAAUGAUACGAAAGAUAACAAAUAAGGUUGGUGAUGGAUAUCAGGGGGCAUGAAGAGCGAACAGUGGCGUCAUUCCUAUGUAUACGGGUAAGAAAUGGGUAAGAAAUAGGCAUUGACAGAUGAGGGUCUAAAGAAAGGACAUAGGUGUAAUGAUACGGCUAGGGAAAGUGGAAGUGGGUAUGAAUUAUGGCUGUUCUAGCAGACUUUUCAAACCGUCGUCCAAAUGAGUUUGCAAAAGGUGGUGAAUUCAAAACAUCCAUGCAAUGAAUAGUUGACUGAGAAGUUCACAAAAGAGGCGAAGUGAGUUCCACGAGUCCUAAGGAUCUACUGGCCUUCCACUCAAAUCAACAUGUGUCCCAUCCAUAGCAUCACCACAGGUUGGAUCAGGAUAAUGCAACAUCAAACGUCCCGAACUAUCAGUAGUUGUUGCACUAGUAUAAACUCAGGCAGCUACCCCAUCUUCUCUUCUGAACCGUAGUCGACUGGACUCGACUCUCGGCCGUGACAAUUGCGUUCGCCGCUGCGUUCAUGGUCUCUACGCUAUUAUUCACACUUAUCAUCUUCCUUAUAAGUCACAAAAUCCCCAUAUUCUCAACUCAAACCUCCUCCGGCACUGAAACUUCUAAUUCCGGCUAUUUGUGCUUAAAACUCACUAUAAGAAGCAGCAAGUUUUCCGACGAGAUUCCGAUAUGGAGCUGUGAGUCCGAAGAGAACCAUUCUGCUUUCUGGUUUGGAGAGUUUUUGGUCGGAUUCGUCAUGGGUAAGAGCAUCCACAGCAACAUUAUUAGGAUUAACAAUCCCAUUCACCGCCCCGAUACAACCCAUACUGACCAUAAACCUACUGGCCAGAGAUUCAACGCCGUCCCCAUCUCUCAUUACAUAGCUCAUCAAAUAAUUGCAGUCUAGAUCCACUUGAGACUCGUCUUUAUGAAUUACAGAAGCUCCAAAGUUACGUCCAAUGCUACGCGUAAGCUGGUGGCACAACCUCUUUAUGGAACAGAGGAUGAUGAUCUUAAAAUCCCGUUCUUGGGAUCUGUGAGUCUGUUCCAAGCGACUGCUGAUGGAUUGACACUCAACCAUAGCACUUGAGGGACCCCCCACAUGGCGUAAAGUAGUCCACUUCCAGUCUGUUGCACCUCUAAAUUAUGGGGUUCCGCAAAUUCAGCUUGUAAAUUCAGCUAGCUCAGUCUCCUCAAAUCCUGGGUUGACUUGUAAAGCCUCUUCAACUUUUUCAUAUGUUUCAGUGACUAGAUUACCUUGCUCUUUCAUUUGAACGGCUCCAACCUCUAACUCCUUGAUAGGCCACUGCAAAUUUUAGUGACUUUUCUUCACCAGAUAUGCACUGCCCGCAAUAUCCACUUGUGAAUCUGUGAAGUUACCAAACGCAAGAGACCCUAUUCAUUUGAUUCUCAAAACCCAUAAGACAUACCCGCCAGCACAUGAGGAUUAGGAAUUGGUUUCAUCAAGCAUCUCUGCUUCUUCAGGCUGGCACUUUUCCAAACAGCCAUGCGCAUUUGCUUGGAUCACAACUGUCGAACAUUCCGAGCAUUAAGCUAUGUGCUUACAAAUAUGACAUGAGGGAAAUUCCUCCACCAUCCAUACAUGUACUAACAGCAAACAGUAGCAUCCUCGGUACCCAUACAUUAAUACUUGACCCUCAAAUCUGAAGGAUAUUCUGAAUAUGAAGCGGGUUGUUUCCUUAUGAGCUUUCCGGUCUUCUCAUGCCAUGAGGAAGAAUUAUUUAAACGGUGGUCAGGGGAAUGAGUUCAUAGGGUGAUGAAAUAAAUGGGUUUGGGGAAAAUGAAUGAGGAACGGGUUAGAUGGCAUUGGGUUUGGUGGAUGAAGCAUGGAAGAUAAGAUAGUGUAUGAUAGACAGCCGUGCAUGCAUGAGACUCCACGUACGUGACAAGAUCGAAGGCAAGCGGGUGAUGAGAGAAUGAUACAAAGGGUAAUGGAAAGUGAUGAAGGAAAGUGGGUUCAAUGAUAAAACGGCUGCAGCAAGGGGCAUAUUGAGUGAGUGAGAGUGAUGACAUAGUGCAUGGUGGUGUAGAGAGAGAAAGUAGAUUAUUGGUGAUGGGUAUGAGGGCAUGAGGACUGAUCAAUGGGCAUGACGAGGUCAGAUAGGUGGAGCCACGCUGGUGAAAUUGUAAUGGACAACAUCCUGCUUAUCCAAGCACUUCAUCUUGCCAAUGGUGGGUGUUAAUGAACCUUAGGUAAUUGGAGCUCACAUCAAACAUAGUCACCAAUGCUGUGGUUGCCAUUGACGUUCCCUGUAGCUUUCACCUUCUUGUUAAUUUCUGCAUGCCUAAUUCCAUCAUUAUCAACCUUGAAAUCGUGCUUCCUCUCAAUGCCUAUGUUGUCUUAAUUUUCAAGACACGAUAGCAAGAUCAUUGGAUACUUCAAUCACGACAGUUGGGUGGGCACUUGCAGAACUAGAGAGCUUGGAGUACCCGGACAGGGGUGUGAAAGAAACCUUGAGACUCCAACCAGUGGUUCCUCAACUCAUCCCUCAUAAGUCCCUGGAAGACUGUACAAUCAAUGGCUUCCACAUCUCUCAAAAGUCCCGAGUCAUGGUAAGCGUAUAUGCCAUAGGGCAAGACCUUAAUGUAUGGACUGACACAGAGAAGUCCUUCCCUAAAAGGUUCAUUGGAAGCAGUAUAGAUCUCCAUGGAUGCAACUUCGAACUCAUCCCAUUUGGCUCAGAUAGAAGAGAAUACCCAGGAAACGUAGUGAAAAUUCUCCAUGUUGGCUUAAUGAAGUUGAAAGCCAGCUGAAAACUAAGACUCCACACAUUCACCGAGAUUUUUGAACAAACAUCAUGCUGCUCUCCUUAGUAACUAACACACUCAAAGACCAUCAAUGUGCUGAUUUGCUUUCUAAAGAAUGAUCAAUAUUUUCUCUGCCCCCUCGUAUUAUCAACUUGCUGCAUUUCUCUGAUUCCUCUUACUGCUUUACCAAAAGCCUUCGUUUAUAACAUAGUGAUCCAGAAACCUUCCCCAUCAUUCACCUUUGCAUUGACCAAACUUUCCUUACUUCAGUUUAGAAUCACCAUUAUCAUGGAAUAGCAUUCCUCUUCGGGCAGAGAUGGGAAAUCUGAGGCAUGACAGGGAUGGGUACCAGGAACAGGGGAAGGUGGAGAAACAGAGCAUAAAAUAAAAUGAGUAAAUAAAGGAAGCCUCAGAAAAUUCACUUCAUAGGUCAUCAGUGAAUCCUCCGAGCAGGUGAGUAAGACAACCAGGGGCAUGAUUCCUGGGCAUUUCAUCAACACCAUAGAGACACAGCAAAUUCAAAAUGGACAAUGGCAAGCAUGAAUGCAGGGUUACAUCUCAACAAACAAAUUGGUGGCCUUCAUUACCCACCCAAACAACAUAGUGAUGCGUAAAACAAUAGCAGCCUGAGGAAAUUAAACAGUGAAUAACUAAAAACGUGAGGAUGGUAAUAUCCAUACCUGAGUUCUUCAAGAUGAUGAUGAUCCAGUUUCUGCCCUCUCCUCAAAUGGCAGAAGAGGCGUCCUCUCCAACUUCAAAAAAACAAUGGAAUCUCUCCUCUCCUCAAAUCUCUCUGAAUCCUUCUUUUUUUCUUCUCACUCAAAAGCUCUCUGCAGCCCCCCCAAAAACCAGCUUUUUCCUUCCCUUUACCCCAAAAUAACCAAACAAAAGCUCCUCCUCUCUAAAAGAUCUCUGCAGUCCCCUCUAAAAGCAACCACCUCCUACCUGCAGGAGACGCUCCUCCUCUAACAGAAACGCACUCCUCCAAUAACAGACUCUGAAUCCCCUGCAUAUCCUCCAAUAGCUGUUACUUUCUCAUUCGUCCAUCAGCUCCACUAAGCUGAUUCCACAGCCACCAACCAGGAGGCAACACUUGGCUUUCAAAGAGCCCUCCAGCUGGCAAGUGAGCUGCAAAAAAUGAAAGAAAAAAAAAGUGCCCCUAAUAGGGGUCUACACUAAGUGUUCAAACUUGGUCAAAAAAAUUAUACCAAAUAUCAUAUCUCACUAGUUUGAGCUAACAAUAGGCAAAAAAAUGUCUGGUAUCAAAAUGCUCUAAUACCACUAUACAGAUUUCGAUAGCAUCUCAACAAUCAUCUUCAGAAUCCAAGCAAGCCUUCCAUUAAGAACUUCAAUUUUUCUCCGACUUCAUAUGUAAAAUUUGGGAAAUAGCAUCAUUCAAAGGGAUUGCAUGUUCAUCACUUUGUCCUACCUUCCAAACCUCAUACUUUGAAGCACCUGCAUUAAUUUCACUCCAACGCCUCAAUAAUGGCAAUGAAAAUGGCCCAGGUCUCUCACCAAGAGGACUUAGACAGUGUCAUGCUUCACUUUCAAGCUUAGAUGACCUUUGUUUCUUACUUGCAACCUUGAGACUCUUCUCAUCAUAACCAUCAUCUCUCAUCCUAGAUUGGUUAUGACGAAUCUCAAAAGAUUGUUUCUUUUCUUCAACAACUACAAAUAAAUGAAAAGAUGCUUGAUUAAACUUGUACUUGAAUCUAUGAACUAAAAAAAUGGUCAAAAUCAAAUUAAAAAAAAAAAUAUAAGAGAAUUUCAAUUUUUAAAAGUCUAUAAAUAAAGAAUUUUUUUAAAAUAUAUAUCUUAAUUAAUGCAUGCCAUGUGGUCCAACCUCUAAGAGAAAAAGACUUCAUGUAGGAUUUUUGGCAUAUAUAAAUGCACAUACACAAAUGUAUAUACAUGUGUACAUAUACAUGUGCAUAUUAAAUUAAAGGAGUUUAAAGAUAUUUAUAACCAGAUAAUUUCUAUAAGAUUACUUCCCUACAUCAACCAUGCAUAUUUUUAAGAGCAUAUUUUUACACUUUCUCCACAUAUGAUUUAAAACAAUCAUUUUUUAUUUUUUUGGAAAAUGUAUAUUUUGAUUGCAAAUCUAAUUUACUAAUUGUAAAACAUUUAAUUAUUAAGUGAAUCAACAGAAUCAUUAGAAUUUUUUUUUUCUGAUUUUAACCAAAAUCAAUUUUUUGGACACUCGUAAAGUAGAAAGAAAUUUCAUUACCUUCAAAACUAUCCUUUGGAUAUUCAUUGGGCCCAUGAAUAACAUUGCUCAAGAGGAUUGCCUGAUCUUUGCAUUCUUCUACCUUCCAAACCUUAUAUUUUAAAGCGUAAGGAUUAACAUCACUCUAGCUUUUAAGCAUAGGCAAUGAAAAACGCCCUGCACUUUCACCAAGAGGACCUUGGCAACGCCAUGCUUCACAUCUAGGCCUAGUCUUUGUUGUUUCUUUCUUGUUUCAUCCUUGUGAUCCUGUUAGUUGUAAUUUUUAUUCGAGUCAAUAUAUUGAGCUCCUAAUGGCUCUUGCCUUUAAGGGAAAAAUAAGGCUUCAUUUCACAUAGAUUUAUUUGAAGACUUACAUCAAAUCGAUCCAUGGGAGUAUGAGUCUAAAUUGCUAAAGCUGCUUCCAAGAUUAUAAACUAGAUUACAAACUAAAAAAGAAACAUAAACUAAUUAAAGAAAAAACAUGCAAAACACUUUCGUUAAUAGAGGACUCAAAUUCUACAUUCUUAACCUUUCAAUAACUCCUUCUAUAGGGGAGUCCGAGCUGGAACUCAAACCUCCUAAUAAUUACUUACCAUAUUUAUUAGUCACAAUUUAAAUUUUUCAAAGGAAUCCUUCAGCUUUUAUAGGAUCAACUUUUUUUUAGAAUCUUGUUCAGGUUUUAUCGAGAAUCUUGUUAAACUUUUUUAGAAAAUUUUGUUCAAGUUUUGCAAGGAAUCUUAUUAAGCUUUUUUAAAUAAUCUUGUUCAAGUUUGGCGGAAUCUUAUUCGACUUUCACAAAGAAUUCAGUUUUUAUAAGGAAUCUUUCAACUUUUACAAUAAAUUUUAUUCAGCUUUUGCAAGGAAUUUUCAUCAUUUUUUUUAAGAAAUCCUAUUUAGUUUUUCAUUAGAGUAUGGGUUUCUUAGGUGGUCCCCUUCAAAAUCUUCCUAGUCAUCCCAGUCAUCAAAAUCCUCAUUAUCAUAAUAGCAACGAAUGGAUCAUGUCUAUAAUUGAAUAAGCGCUCUAUGAAUAUCAUAGUCAUAAAAUGUGGUUAACUAGCAAAAUUUAUUUUAUUAAUUGUCUUUUAAAGACUAGAUUUUUAUGAGCUUCCUUUUGAUACUUUGGCAAUGGGGAAAUAAAUUUUCAAUGGGUAAAGAGCAAUGCCCUUUUCAUCUCUAUGGCUAUGAUCCAAUAAGGUCUUACCUUAUUAUUAUUCAUUAAGGCACAAGAUGAAGAUGACCUAGACGCACUUCAAAAUAUUGAUGCUUUUCAUUAAUAAUUCCAUCAAAAUACUAUUAGUCAUCAUGAUAUAAAGAAAAAAGACCAAAAUUAAAUUAAAAAGAUAAGAGUAUUUCAAAAUUUUAGAGUCUAUAACUAGAGACAAAAAAUAAGAAAAAGAAAAACAAAAUGUAUCGUUCACCCGCAUGUGUGUGUCAUAUGGAUUUUGGACAUGUAAGUAAACAUAUGUAUACACACACAUACAUAUAUUUUUAUUGUGAAAAUUGUUAGUAAAAUUUUUAUUUUGAAAAUUAUUGUUCCGAAAGUGCUAAGAAUUUUCACUACCAAAAUUAUUUAUUUGAUUAUUGUUCAUUGGUCGAUUGUUGAGUUGAUUGAAAGUACCUUGAUUUUUCUUUUAAUUAAUUGAUGUUUUGAACUACAAUAUUUGCUGAGUCUUGUAAGGAACACCAUUUUUUAUAUCUAAAUAACUCUCUUGAAUCAAUAACAUACGUUUAAAUUCUCCUAUCCUAAGUUCAAAAAUACCUAUAGAAUUUUAAAUUCUCCUACAUCAAUUUCACCAAUACCUCCAGGUUUAGUGCUGAUAGAUGUCACAAAGGAUUCAAUCUCAAGACUUGAACCACUUUGGAUAUGCUUGAUUUGCUCUUCCCAUGGUACCAAAUGGCCAAUUUUUACCAAGUAUCUAGUCAUUAAAAGUGUACCUUGUUUUGUAGAUUGAAGUUGAAUUCGAUGCUGGCUAAUUGAGAGGUGAACAACUUUUCCAAGUAGUCCCAAGCUGCAAACGAGGCUUAAUGGUAAUGAGAAAAUCUAUAAUUCAGAAUUGUCUGAUCAUGCCCUUGCCGUCGCAGAUAGAGGAUUAAUAGUAUUGAAGUAUGGGAGAGUUUUUGACAUGAUCUUCUAAAUCAUACUUCAUUUAUUGUGAGAAUUUGAGAUACCCAUAAUAGAUAACUUGUGUUGAUCAAGCUUAACACUGAGAAAAUGGUCAAGAGGGUUUGAUGGAAGCUAGGGUGGCUAGGCUAAUUGAAUUUCAGCAGCUAGAUUAUCCUAAACAUUGAAGAAGACUGGGAUGUUUGAUCUCUUGUGAAUGAUGCCAUUUUUAAGCUAAUGAAAUUGAAAACUGAAAAAUACAAAAGUUGAAAUAGAAUUAUCUAAAGGAUUGCUAAACUAAUUGAUCCUAAUCCCUGGAAACAAGUCAAUACUCAUCAAGCUUCAACUUGGAAGUUUUCCUGGCCACGGCGAAGUGUGAAGCUCGAGGUCAAAGGUAGGUGGAUGCCGGAGGAAAAAGGGCAAAGUGUGAGGCGUAGGUUGAUGCCGGGCGUUGGCUGUAGUUUCAGCCUGAAACAGAGAAAGGCUAUAGAAAGAAAAAAUGGAAGAGUAACACCUGGGAACAGAGGAAUUAAGACAGUCCACCAAAAAACAGAGGAACCCUUUUUCUUUGACUUUGUAUUCUCGGUUCUGAUAUUUUUUGUUGUACAAUCACUAGAUUUCAAACCAGAUGCAAAGAGAUUUAACUUGAGUAAAUCUCUCCACGUGGAAGCAUGACAACCACUCAAAAUAACCUAACACAGCAUAGGCACAUUAUGUUACACCGGGGGAAGAAGAGCAAAGUGUGAAGCGUCGGUGGAUGCCGGAGGAAGAAGGGCAGAGUGCGAAGCUUGAGAUCAAAGGUAGGUGGAUGACAAAGGGGUAAUUCAAUGGCCUGAGAAAGUAGUACACCCACCCCCUAUCGAUCAUCCCUUCCGGUGGUAGUGAGGGAUGGACCCCAAGAGGAGAAAGACCCAAGACUUUGCGGACAAGGCUGAUUCCACUGCUACGGAUACUGGGAAUUCGGGUAUAGCGGAGUCCCAAGCCACUGAUUCGAAGGCCGAGCCUGUGGAACUCAAUGCAGAAACCCGAAAGAGUCAUUACCCCAAACUGUAAGUGCUGCAUGUUUUCACUUGUGUCAUUUUAUCAGUAUCACCAUUGUUAUGGCCAUGAAUUUUAGUCCUGAAUCUAAUUUAUCGGAAUUUGGAUUCCUGGGGGCGACUGAUCAGUAUGGAAAAUAGGAAAAGCACUCUGAAUGGUUUUCGUGAGCAUCACGGGCUUCCCCGAAGGCAGCGUGAGCAGGGGCGGCUUGGUCAGCAGUGGUGGAGCAUGUAUGUAUUUUUAUCACUGUAUAUAUAGGGAGAGAGGUCUAGUUGUCCCCCCCCCCCACACACAUAUAGAGAGAGAAGUCUAUUUGUCGUAAAAGUGACUGAAAGGGUAUAAUUAUAAAUUUGACAUCAAUCCAACAACAGCUCACAAAGCAUGCCAUUGAUCUCACGGGCUACAUCAGCUCACAAAGCAUGGACCAAACUGGCCACCAUCUAUGUCAAUCAAUCUCGGACAAGAAUUAUGGACCUUAAAGAUUACCUUGCUGAGGUUACAAAAGGCUCAAAAUCUGUCAGAGUAUAUGCAAAUAGUCCAAAUUAUCAAAGAUGAACUGGCCAUCAUUAAUGUUCCUAUUGAUGAAAGUGAUCUUACCAGUAGAGUACUUCGCAACCUUAGUUUAGAUUUCAAAGAAAUAUCUGUUGCCAUACUAUCAAGAGACACAUCAAUAACCUUUGCAGAGCUCCAUAACAGACUUGUGGAACAUGAAGGUUUCCUUAAGCUCGAGGAAAAGCAUUGAGGAAUUCUAUCGCUACUAACUACUCUCAACAUAAUGACAAUUACAAGUUUUGUGGCAAUCAAUUCUUUAAUAAGGACAAUCAUUCUUCUUCUCAGAUCAACAACCAUGUUAUUGGUGCUUAAUCUUUCAGCGCCAAUCAGAAUCGACAUCACCUAAAUAAGAACUAGAAGCCUCAAGUCUUGCCAAUACAAUGAUAAGGCAUGUCAUACAGCAAAGCAAUGCUACAAAAUUUGAAAGCCUCCCAACCCCAUGGCUUAAAUAACUAAAAUUGGUUAAUGAAAUACUGAAGCAUCUCAUCACAUUACUUUCAACCUCAAUAAUCUGUUAAUCCCACUUAGAACAUAAUGAAGGUGAUGAUAUUUUGUUGGGCAACGGUAAGAGCAUUCCUAUAACACACAUAGGUUCUGUUUCUUUAAAAACUCCUUCCAAAAACUGUACCUCAAUUUUCUUCGUAUUCCUUUCAUUAACAAAAACUUAGUAUUCAUUUCUUAACUUUGCAAACACAAUAAUACAUAGUUGAAUUUUUUUCCCAGUUGCUUUGUUGUUAAGGAUAUGAGCACAGGGGCACUACUGAUAUGAGGAACAAACAAGGGAAAUGUCUAUUUGUGGCCUUCAACCUGACCUAUCUGCCAUUAUCACCCCACAAGCUAUGACUGGAAUAAGAAUGUAGAAUCACAACUGGCAUAGACUUGUAAGACAUCCAUCCACCAAAGUCUUUUCUCAUCUUUGUUCUUCCAAACUUUUACUUUUCUCCUCCAAUAUCACAAGCUCUAUGCAUUUUCACUCUUGCUCAUGCAAUAAAAAUCAUAAAUUAUCUUUUGGUGUCUAUUCUUUCUAGCUCCAAACCCCUAAACUUGAUUUAUAUUCUUUCUAGUAAGAGAAUAUGAAUAAGGGAUCAAGUAAAUGGGGAUUAUAUAUAAUCGAUGAAUAGAAAAUACUUGUAGACAAACAAAAUUGGAUUCAAAGGAAAUCAAUAAAUGGAGAGGCUAGGGUUUUUUGAAUCAAGCCAAGGUGUAAUUGAUCGAUUUGAUACAAGCUCUAUUAGAUCUCCCUAUUAAGUGAGCUCAGUUGGAGAAUAAUUCUAUAAAAGCUAUAAUUUGAACACAAUAGCAAUUCAGUAGUCCUACAACUUUGUAUCGAGUUUAUGCGCAAUGAAUGCAGUAACAAGGAAACUUCUCUCUCUUUACAUCUCCAUUUUGGAGCCAAGCUAGCCCACCAAAACUAUUGCCUAGGACACUUAGGACCUCCACAUUAAGCCUUAAGAAGAUUAGAAGGAACUUAGUUGCAUACUACAUGUGUCAUGCACCCCCAAAAUCUAUCUUUAAAUAAACACACACACAAAAAUAAUAAAUAAAUAAAUAAAGGGGGGAAAAAAAAAGAAGGAAAGUUAUGUUGUCAACUUUCACACAAACUAGUUUGAUAUUGCUAAUGACAAUUUGGUGCAUACUUAUUACAAGAGUUGAACUAGAAUGAUCCUCUGAAACUGCAUUCUGAACUCAUUCUAUUGGUUUUUCUUUUUUUCUUUUUUUCUUUUUUCCUUUUUUACCUUAUAAUUUCUGCAGAUACCACCCCCUUAAGAAAUUGAAGGAGUUGAAUAGAAAGAAAGAUAUUGUGUGCCUUAUCUUAUCAUAUCCUCCUAUGAAUUCAGCUAACAAAGAGAGACACAAGAACUGGGUUCGGGAUGUUUUGAAGAUAAAUCACAAACUAAGGGAAAUGGAAACAUUUUCAAGCCAGCAAAAGACGAGUUUUUCAGAGCUAUCUUCUGAAAUCACUACACUGCUGGAUCAUUCACUCGAUGAUAUUGAAGCUUAUGUUCCACCAAUGAUCAUUGAGAAGAUGUGUGAGAAAACUUUGCAAGUAACAGAGCCUGAUGAAAAAUUACGUAAUUUGGCUGUUAAUUUUGCUACUCGCCAAAUUCUAGAAGAAAUAGAAAAUCCUGAGGUCCGGAGGAUCAGGAUUUCAGAAAGAGAUGGGAUCAGAGUAACAUCAGCAGUGAAAGAUCUACCUCAGAUACGAAAAAGGUUUAAUAUCAUCAUUCAGGUUGAUGCCUCAUCAUAUCCAAAUAUUAAAGGCAUUGAAGAGAAUAUCGCAACACAAUUAGGCUUCUCAUUGGACAUUUGGGUGUUAAAUAGCAUCUUGAAAAACACCAGUUUCUUAAUCUUUCUGGAUGACCUUUAUGAAAGGAUCGAUCUGUAUGAAGUGGGAAGAAAGUGGUGGAACUCAAAGAACAUUCAAAAGAUAGUUUGUUCGACUGGAUCCCAUGAAGUUCAUCAAAGAAUGGCAGUGGAUCGACAGAUCAGGUUGGAGGAUCAUCUGUUAUCUUGGGAAUUAUUUUGUUUGAAUGUUGGCAAAAUUGUGCAUUCUUCAAGUUUCCAACACAGAGCCAUUGAUGUGGUUCAAAAGUGUUCUGGCCAUUUACUUGCUGUUGCUCUAAUGGCAAGAGCUUUGAAAAUGGUCUUCGAUGUCAGCAUCUGGGAACAUGCAUCUUAUAUACUAAGCUUGUCUCACAGAUCUCAGUCGAAAGACACAGUUUUGUAUAAUGCAUUAGCUUUCAUUCUGGGGCGUUCAGGUUCAGCAGAUAAAUGUGUAAACUACUGUGCAUUUUACAUGGAGAGGGAAGGAGUGGACAAAGUUGAUUUGAUUCAGGAGUGGAUCAGACAUGCCUUAAUCAGCACAUUUGAUGAAGGAGAAAAAAUUGUUCACGAUCUUGUCAGUGCCUUCUUGUUAGAGAGUUUUCAGAAUGGAUAUUUUGUCCAAAUGCGGGAUGAAAUCCGUGAGGUGUUAGUAAAUUCACAAUUUCUUUUGCAAGGUGGAAAGGGUCUUACUAAGGCACCAAAAGAUGAGGCAUGGGAGGAAGCCAGUGAAAUCCAUUUGAUGAAUAAUAAAUUUUCUGAGCUGCCAAAGAGUCCAAAUUGUCCCCAACUCUGUGCAUUGUUCUUACAAAAGAACCCUUCUUUGCGAGUUAUUCCUCCACUUUUCUUUCAACAUAUGCCUAUACUCCAAAUCCUAGACUUGUCACAUACUAAAAUAAGAUCAUUACCUCAAUCUCUUUAUGGGUUGGCACAACUGCAAAGACUCUUUUUGAGAGGCUGUAAACUCUUCAUGGAGCUGCCACCUGAAGUCGGAAAACUCAGUAAUCUUAAGGUGCUUGAUCUUGAGGGGACUGAAAUUGUAAGGCUACCUGUGGAUGUUGGAAAAUUGACAAAUUUAACUUGCUUGAAAAUGUCAUUUUGUGGGGAUAAUGACAAUAGAAAAGAUAACCAAUACUCAAACAGAAUAAUUCCUCAGGGUGUGAUGCCCAAUCUAUUCCAUUUGAAAGAAUUAAUCAUAGAUGUCAAUCCUAAUGAUAAGCGAUGGAAUGCCAAUGUGGAAGAAAUUGUAGAGGAAGUGUGCAACUUAGACCGGUUGGAGGCGCUUCAACUUUACUUUCCAGAAGUUCUACUUUUGAAUAACUUGAUGGAUGGAUCAUCAAUAAACCUCCCAGGUAUGCGCUUUAGAUUUACUGUUGGCAGCCAUCUGAAGCCCAUAAUAUCCCGACUACCACUUGAAGCUAUAGCUAAAUUUGAAGAAGAAGAAAGAUGCUUGAAGUAUGUGAAUGGUAAAGGUGUCCCAACUAAAAUUGAGGAGGUACUUGAGCUCACUACUGCAUUGUUCCUGGAUCGCCAUUCAACUGCUACCAGUUUAUCUGAGUUUGGAAUUGAAAAUAUGAGGAAUCUAAAAGUUUGUGUAUUAGGCGAAUGUGAUGAGAUUCAAACCAUUACGGAUGCGGAUGAAGAUGAUGAUGGAGGUGUUGUACUUAAAUCACUAGAGUAUUUGAAUCUUUAUUAUAUGAAGAAUUUAAGGAGCAUUUGGAAGGGGCCACUUGGAUGGUGUUCUCUAUCACGUCUAAAAUCUUUGGUGCUGCAUACAUGCCCCCAAUUGACUACCAUUUUUACUUGGAAUGAGACUUUUUAUCUCACUAACUUAGAGGAGCUUGUAGUUGAAGAUUGCCCCAAAAUUGAAAGCAUAGUAGUGACUCAUGAUCCUACUGGUACUAAACCAAUGUUGUGGACAAAUUAUUUAUUCUCAAAGUUGAAGAAGAUAUCACUUCAUUACAUGCCUAAACUGGUCAGCAUUUCCAAUGGUCUACGCAUUUCACCAAUAUUAGAAUGGAUGAGCUUCUAUGAUUGUCCAAGCCUCAAAACUCUUUCCCCAGAGGAAGUUCACAGUAAUGAAUUGAAAGUGAUAAUAGGAGGGGCAGAAUGGUGGAGAGAAUUGAAGUGGAACAAAUCAGAAUGGCUUCAGCCACCCAAUCUGGAUGCUAUCUUUCAUCCAAUUGAAAAGGACACAUAUUUCGUUACACGUCUAGCAGAAAUUAAUGAUCAACUUCAAGCUAGGAUGCAAGAAACAGAGCUUUCUCAACAGUCAGGUUGUUUUUCCAUUCCUCUUUUUCUUCAAAGAUAAAAUGCUGAUCUCCAUUUUAUCUUACUUACACUUUACAUUGUCCUAUUACAUAUUUGAAC